This 309-nucleotide unclassified non-coding RNA is filed under the name plant metagenome. RNAcentral's name for it is "partial contains 5.8S ribosomal RNA, internal transcribed spacer 2, and large subunit ribosomal RNA". The stretch from base 1 to 104 matches the Rfam family "5.8S ribosomal RNA", at positions 51 to 154 of the family's 154-position model. The record is from RNAcentral.
AAAUGCGAUAAGUAGUGUGAAUUGCAGAAUUCAGUGAAUCAUUGAAUCUUUGAACGCACAUUGCGCCCCUUGGUAUUCCAUGGGGCAUGCCUGUUCGAGCGUCAUUUGUACCCUCAAGCUCUGCUUGGUGUUGGGUGUUUGUCCCCGUCUCCGCGCGUGGACUCGCCCCAAAGUGAUUGGCAGCCGGCGUACUGGUCCCGGAGCGCAGCACAUGUCGCGCAAACGAGUGCCUUGGUACGGCGGCGUCCAUAAGCCCCUCUCUCACGCUCUUGACCUCGGAUCAGGUAGGGAUACCCGCUGAACUUAAGC